RNAcentral lists this transfer RNA (82 nucleotides) under Sandaracinus sp. RNAcentral describes it as "tRNA-Leu". It matches the Rfam family "tRNA". From Rfam's summary of the family: Transfer RNA (tRNA) molecules are approximately 80 nucleotides in length. Their secondary structure includes four short double-helical elements and three loops (D, anti-codon, and T loops). Further hydrogen bonds mediate the characteristic L-shaped molecular structure. tRNAs have two regions of fundamental functional importance: the anti-codon, which is responsible for specific mRNA codon recognition, and the 3' end, to which the tRNAs corresponding amino acid is attached (by aminoacyl-tRNA synthetases). tRNAs cope with the degeneracy of the genetic code in two manners: having more than one tRNA (with a specific anti-codon) for a particular amino acid; and 'wobble' base-pairing, i.e. permitting non-standard base-pairing at the 3rd anti-codon position. Lineage: Bacteria; Pseudomonadati; Myxococcota; Polyangiales; Sandaracinaceae. The record is from RNAcentral.
GCCGGGGUGGCGAAAUGGGAAACGCAGCGCGUUCAGACCGCGUGGCUUCAGCUUGGAGGUUCGACUCCUCUCCCCGGUACCA